Eucalyptus grandis is the source of this 8185-nucleotide long non-coding RNA. RefSeq lists it as uncharacterized. Lineage: Eukaryota; Viridiplantae; Streptophyta; Magnoliopsida; Myrtales; Myrtaceae. The transcript is spliced from 3 exons. The record is from RefSeq and is a predicted model, not a curated record.
AACUGAAUUCUUUCUGGUUAAAGAAUCUCUUUUUAGUUGCUCUGGAAAAAUUAGGAAAUGGAUCCCACUAGAGCGCCUUCUACUUCUAAUAGGCCAUGAACUAGAUCAGAAUCAUUCUCAACGAGUUCAUAAGAAGUGAUCUCAUUUUUUUCAUCGGGUCCAGGUAGAGACCAAAGAUCUUGAGCGAUCGAUCCGGUAGAACAACUCAAAAGAUAAAAUUUUUGAAUUAGAUCGUGCUACUUUGAAAUCCGAUGGUGUUUUUCGUAGCUGUCCAAGGGUUGGUUUACUUUUGGACAUGCUUCGUUUUCUCUCUGCUCUUCUUCUUCGAGACACAUUUGGCAUGGUGCUAGAACCUUGUUUAGAGAUGUUUUUGCUGGUAUUCUCAAAAUGGAACUAAAGAAAACAAAAAAAAAAAAAAAAUUGGGGGGGGUCAAACUAACUUUCUUGAAUAACAAACUUCUUUAAAUUUAAAUUAAGAAAGUUAAAAUAAUAAUUAAAUAAAUUAAAUAUAAAUAAUAUUGAAAUUGCAAGUAUUCUCUUGACUUUUUGGGCUAUCGUUCAAGCGUGCGACUAAAUUCUUCAUUGGUAUGAAGUCAAAUGCAUUCUUUCUUUUUGAUAGUUGGUUGGCAGGGUCAGGACCUUUCUCACUGGGUGAGCACAUCCGAUUCGAAAGUCCUUUCCUAAACCACUUCCCAUUCAGUUUCUGAAAGAUAGAGAUAAGCUUUCUAAAUGAGAUGGAGUUCCACGAAUAUGCAGGCUAGAGCUUGACUGCAAGACCCAACCGUUGAGCAGGGACGAAAGUCGACCUUAGUGAUCCGACGGUGCUGAGUGGAAGUCUAAGUCACUUCGUUUCAUUUUGUCCAAGUUACUUCUUUUUUUGUCCAAGUUUCUUUUUUUUUUGUCUGACUCACUUCCUUUUUUCUUUGUGAGUUUCAGAAUACCCCCAUUCAUAGGUCUGAGAUCCACGUCUAUGAAUUGAAAGAGCCCUAGUCUUGAAUUGGAGUACUUGGCGGAUUACCUUGCGGAGCUGACAUUGGUCAAGUAUGAGUUCCUGAGUUUUCUUCCUUCUCUAGUUGCUGCAUCAGCCAUAUUUCUUGCUAGAUGGACACUGGAUGACUUACACCACCCUGGAAUCCAAUUUUGGAAUUCUACACAUCUUAUAAGGCAUCUAACCUGAAAACUACGGUAUCUGCAUUGCAAGACCUACAAUCGAAUGCAAAAGAAUGCCCACUAAGUGCUCUACGUAUCAAGUAUCGGCAGCAGAAGGUACACUAGUACGAGAGCUCAAUAACUAGAACAAAUUAAAAUAAAAACCACUCACACUUGGUCGAAGUUUGUUGCUUGCAUUAGUGAUUUUCUUGUGUUUGUCACAACAAAAGUUGCUAAGUUGCCAUCCUUUUUCUGAUCUUGGCUUGAGCUGAUAUAGAAGCUUUAAUUUGUCUCUUUCUUUCUUCGUUAUAGUUCAAAUCUAAAAUGAAAAAAAAAAAAAAAAAACUGAUGGAAAUAGGUUCCAAGUUCCAAAAAAUGAGGAACCUGUACCUGAGGGUAGGUUCUAGGUUCCAAACGGAACCGAACCGGAACCAGGAACCGCUCACUCCUAUUGUGUAUUAUGCGGAUGUUUCUUGGACACUAUUAUGGGUUCCACUCAAUACUCUGAGAAAAUAUUAGCUACAGCUUUGAGGCCAACUUAGCCAAAAAACAGGUCCAUUUAUUUUGCAACACGUAUUGUACAUGACCCCCACAAGUCAGUUUCAGAAAAUCUCAAGCAAAUGUGACAUCAACUAAUACUUUGUGUUGUUCCCUAAUUUUCUUUGAAUUUUAAGAGGAAUUGAUGAAACUUUUCAAUCAAAAUACGUAGAUUUCGUUCCAAAUUUUAUACCUUAAUAUUUGGAUAAAACCUUCAAUUUUCACUUAUCUUUGGAGGAGUAGAAUCUCUUGGCUCUUUCACCACUUGUUUGUAUAAUUUUAAAAUUGCUUGUAAGACAAUUUUGAAAUAUCUAUAACUCUAAAUGUCACAUCAUACCCAUUGAUAUGGCAAAAUACUUGAAGUUGCUCCCUAAUAAAAAUGAAUACCGUAGGAUGCAACAUUUUCCUUGCACUGAGUGUUUUACAGAGUUCUUAAAAAACAUUUGGUGUCAUCCAUAUUUGGUUUAUGCAAUGAGUAUCUCCACCAUAUAGGAUUCAAUUCAUAUAAAAUUCUCUCUCUCUCUCUUUCUCGAUCUCGAUUCACACGAGACUCUCUUAGAUAUAGUUCUCAAAAUCAUUAUAAUCAUUCAUAACUUGUAGUAUUUUAUUAAUACGUUCAUGAUGGAGUGCGAUUAGAACACACCGUUUUGCCUUGAUAAGUUAUGAUGGAAAGACACCCUUUGAAAGGGUAUGAGGGAGUCGUAUAAAAAAUUGGGAUGGUUAGCAGAAUAUAUGCUCAGAAAGAAAUUGUUUUCUUUUAUCUCUCCUUUCCAUCAAAAGAAAGAAGGCGUUACAUUUCUCCUUUACGAAAAUAAUUGGCAUUUAUGUUGUGGAAAUUGGAUGUUUUCCUCGUGACUGCAUUCAAAACAAUGUGAAGUAAUAUUGUUUGUCAUUCAUCCGCAAUUCAACGAUUGUUUUAGGGUAAAUUGUUCAUUGCGCAUCGUAAAGAGGUAAGUCGUCUUCCACCAACUUUCUUCCAACAUUGGUAUAAGAGCCUCGGUUGUGAUUUCUACCUUAUUUUUCAUCAAAUUUUCUCGUUUACCAAUUGAUAUCGAGAUCAAGAAAAUGAAAUCUACACUGUUUGGAUGUUUAUUGCUUGGAAUUGCAAUCUAAAUUGUUGAAAAUGAACUGAAGCAAAGAACAAGUUUGGGGUUGCGUACACCUGUAUGGUUUUGGCCAUUUUUCGAAAUAUCUUUUAGGCCAAAUAAAUUUUCAAAUAUACAGGGUGAAAGUACUCGUCAAGACGAGUCCAACGAUGGGUUGAGCACCGCCGGAGGAUGUUGGACGCGCCCAACGCAUUGGGAAUGCCAAUGCGUGAGCGUCACGCGCGCGAACGUCAUGCGCGCAUCGGCGAACUGACGCAUGCUGACGUCACUGAUGACAUCAUCCAAUGGUCGAUAACUGCCGGAUGACGUCAUCAAUGACAUCACCACUAGCGGCAGUUGGCCGACCAGUCGCUGGCCGGUGACCCAACCCGACCCGUUGGCUGAUCAACCUGUUCGGUGGUCAAACCGAUUGGAUCAAUCAGACCGCCAGGAGCCUUAUGGCUCGCUAGUGCGUGCGCCACACACACCACACACUCAGGCAACGGGUGUGGGUGCUUGAGGGCUCCGAUUGGAAUGUGAUUAGCGGCGUUUGGUUCGUAUGGAUAUUUUCCACAUUGUAGUAUAAUUAUUUUAUAUUUUUAGUUUUUUACAGGUAUAAAAAUGUGUAGGGAACUCUAAGUAUACGUAUUUUUGGGAUACAAAUGCAUUGUUUAUUCAUUUUUAGCAUGUUUUUUUUUCCUUGUGAUUUUGGAAAUACAGUAGCUAGCCUACAUGAAAAUAAUGUCAAAUACGUUGUGUAAAGUUUGGUUCAAUGAUAGCAUGUAAAUUAUUUAAUAUACAAUUGUUGGAAAUCCUUGAUUUUUUGUUACAUGUUGAAUUACGGUUUUGAUUGUAGUUGUUGCAUGAUAGUUUUGUGUACGUUGUUCACGUCAUGCUAUGCUUUUGUGUUAAUGGAAAAAAAAUGUAGAAAUUACAUGAGGUCAUAUAAUUGUUUUUUUUUUUCAAGUAGGAGUUCGUAGGUUGGUAGAAUUCGAAGGAGUUCUCACCUAGAAUUUAAAAUUUACGCAAAUUAAACAAUUAAUGAUAAUAGAACAGUCGUAUAUAGAAACUGGUUUGGAAAAUAGUGAACUUACAUUUUUGUGUCCUUUGUUGAAUUAUCAUUAAUUUAGUUUGUCUUUAUUGCAAAUUAAAUAUGUGUGUUACUCUAAAAAAAAAUGUGCUAGUAUUGAUUCUGCAUUUAUUAUGUGAAUAUAUUAUAGCAAUUGAUUAUGGCUUCGGCAUCCAAAACUAUUGUGGUUGACCUCAAUAAGGAUGAGAAGCUGAACAGUGAUAAUUAUGAUAUUUGACAUCGAAAGGUUCAGUACAUCUUUGAGGAGCAAGAGGUUUUGGAAACCCUCAUCCACACUAUAGAUGAACCUAAGCAUGGAACUUCAGCUCAACGCAUGAGAGAUCUAGAAGCUUAUCAAGCUUGGAAGAAGAAAAAUAGCAUUGCUCCAUCACGUUAUUGAUAAGUAUGCAAGAUGAUCUCAUGUAUGAGUUUGAAAGUUAUGAUAAAGUUCAAGUAAUGUGGGUUCUCUUGAAAGAUAAGUUUGGGGGUACAUCUGUCACUAAGUUGAGGAGACUCACCAUCAAGUUUGACAUAUACCGAAAGCGCCCAAAAAUGUAACAAUAAGGCAAUAUUUUUAGGAGAUGUCAAACAUGAUUCGUGAGUUGAAGGCAGCAGGUCACUCUCUUACUGAUAAACAACAAGUUCAUGCUAUUAUAAGGUCUCUUCCUGACAAUUUGGAGCAUAUGAAGAUCAAUAUGACACAUAAUGAAAAUAUUGUCACUUUUGAUAAUAUAAUGCGUCAUUUGGAAUUAGAGGAUGAGCGUCUAAAGGCUGUGAGAUCCUUUACCCAUGCUUAUGUUACUGAAUCGAGUUCGCGCAAAACUUUGGGCUUCAACAACAAAGAGAAGAAGAUUGAUCAGGCACCUAAAAGGGCUAAGACCUUCUAACACAAAAAGCGUGGUGGAAAGAAGGACAAGGCCAAGAUGAAGUGCUACAACUGUGGCAAGAUGAGUCACUUUACUCGUGAAUGUACUGAGUCGAAAGAGGUACCCUAUUACUCAAUUACUGGAAGUAAUACUUUUGUUUCUAGUACUGUAAUACUUGUUGAAUCUCAUCCAAUGUGGACUAUAGACUUAAGAGCAACAUACCACGUAGUUAGAGACCAAGAAGCAAUUGGGAAGUAUUGUCAGAUAUAGCUUAGAAGAAGAUAGAUAUAUGUUGGGAAUAACUCAAGAGUUGAAGUGAAGAGUAUCAGCACAUGUAAAUCAAUUAUACGUGGUGGUUGAAGCCUAUUCCUACAUAAUGUCCUCUAUGCCCUAGAUAUUCGAUAAAACUUGGUCUCCGUAGUUGUUCUUUUUAGCCUAUGUUAUGUAUUGAAUUUCCAUGAUGAUUGUGUUAACAUUUUGUUUGGAACAGUUUAUUAUGAUUCAGGUCAUGUAUUGAAUGGUUUUAUGGUGUUAGACAUUGACUAUGAUCAAUACAAUAUUAAUGUCGAUGGUUGUUUAAUUGUAUCUUCUAGUAAUAUUAAGAUUGAUGCAAGUACUUGGCAUGCUAGAUUAGGUCACAUUGGGUUACAAAGAAUGUAAAGAUUAGCUAGAGAAUGCCUUUUAGGAUCACUCAUUAAUGUUAAUCUACCCGUAUUUAAACAUUGUCUAGCGGGAAAAAUAACUAGAAAACCAUUCACUAAAGGAAUUAGAGUCGAAUUUCCAUUGCAACUCAUACAUACUAACAUUUGUGGUCCUUUAAACGUGAGGGCGAGGUAUGAAGCCUCAUAUUUAAUCACUUUCAUAGAUGACUUCACGCGUUUCGGUUAUUUCUUUCUAAUCUCCCACAAGUCAGAAGCAUUGGACUGCUUUAGACAAUAUAUAGCGAUAGUGGAGAAUUAGUUGAAUAAAACAAUAAAGGCAUUGAGAACUGAUCGCGGAAGUGAGUAUCUAUCUAAGCAAUUCAAGGCUAUUUGUAAUGAAAAGGGAAUUGUACGGUAAUUGACUAUUCCGGUACUCCACAACAAAAUGGGACUGCUGAGAGAAGGAAUACAACUCUAUCGAAAAUGGUUAGGUCUAUGAUGGCGCAAACAAAUUUACCUAUCUCCUAAUGGGGAGAUGCAUUAUUGACUGCUACCUAUGUACUUAACCGAGUGCCCCCAAAACUAACCACUUCCAUCCCUUAUGAAUUAUGGACUGGUAGGAAACCAGACUUAAGUAUUCUACGUCCAUGGGGAUGUGCAACUUAUGUUCAUAAUUCUUCUCAUAAAUAUGACAAAUUAGGUCCUAAAGGGAAGAAAUGUAUCUUUAUAAGAUAUUCUAAACACUCCAAAUGGUACGUGUUCAUUAGUGAACAAGCUGAUGGAAGCAUGAUCGAAAUGAAAUCACGAGAUGUCACUUCUUGGAGAAAGAUUUUCCUAGUAGAUGAAAUAUUAAUAAGGACUUCUUCUAAUUAUAUAAGAUGGAAGAUCCUAAUAACAUACCCACUAAUAUUGUAGAGGAAAAUGAAGAUUGACCUCAAUAUACAAGACCUAGUGAGAGUGUUACAUCGCCUGACGAAUUGAAUUCAAGAGAAAUUCAGUUACGUAAAAGUAAUCGUAAAAGUAUUCCUCGUCGUCGUUUUGAGAUUGAAGGGGAAUCAUUUAUGAUUGCUCAGAAAAACGAUGUUGAGCCUAAAACUAUUCAAGAGGCUCUCUCAUUCUCUAAUAAGGAAGAAUGGAGAAAAGUUUUGGAAAAUAAAAUGGAGUCAAUGAGAGCAAAUCACAUCUGAGACUUGGUUGAUCUACCACUCAAUCGCAAGGCCAUUUGAAACAAAUGGGUUUUUAAAAUUAAGCGAAGGGCGGAUGAAUUCAUUGAAAAGUAUAAGGCUCAUCUUGUGGCGAAAGGUUAUACUCAACAAAAGUGUAUAUAGAUUAUGAGGAAAAAUUUUCACUUGUUGUAAGGUUUGCCUUAAUACGCCUUAUCCUAGCCAUCAUUGCAUAUUUAGACCUUGAAUUACAUUAAAUGGAUGUAAAGACGACAUUUCUCAAUGGAAAACUAGAUGAGGAAAUUAAUAUGAAGCAGCCAAUAGAUUUCAUAGCUAAAGGUCAAGAGCAUAAAGUUUGUAAGUUUCAUCGCUCAAUAUAUGGCCUUAAGCAAUCAUCUAGACAGUGGUAUCUUUAUUUUCAUUGAGCCAUAACAACUUUUGGAUUUGCGAUGAUCGAACGAUUUUUGGAUUUGCGAUGAUCGAAGAAGAUCACUGUGUAUAAGUCAAGCAAUCCAAAAAUAAAUUUGUGAUUCUAUCACUUUAUGUAAACGAUAUUCUAUUGGCUGGAAAUGACAAGGUUUCAGUUAUCACUAUAAAAGAAUGAUUGUCCUCCAAUUUUGAAAUGAAGGACAUGGGAGGAGUUAAGAUCGAAUGAGAUCGAUCAAGGAAACUCCUUACUUUAUCAUAAGAGUCUGAUAUAAUGAAGAUUCUUGAAUGUUUCAAUAUGCAGCACUGUAAUCCCAUUAAUACCCCCGUCAUGCAAGGUGAAAGCCUAAGUACUAAGAUGUGUCCUAAGACUCUAGAAGAAAAUAAAGUGAUGGAAAUUGCUUUUUACAAUAGUGCAGUCGGAAGUUUGAUGUAUGCUAUGAUGUGUACUCGACCCGACAUAUGUUAUGCCGUGGGAUUGGUGAACCGAUAUCAAUCAAAUCCCGAUCAAGCACAUUGGAAAGCAAUGAAGAGGAUCCUGAGAUACUUAAAAGGCAUCAUAGACUAUUGACUUUGUUAUUAAGGGAAUGAUUUACACCUAUUAGGCUAUUCAAAUGCUGAUUGGGGUGAAGACCUAGAUGAAUGUAAAUCUACUUUUAGAUAUGCGUUUUUGCUCAAUAGAGGUGCAAUAUUUUGGAAUAGCAAGAAACAGACAUGCAUGACCUUGUUUACGAUAGAUGCAGAAUUUAUUGCAUGCUCUACCGUAAUGCAAGAAGCAAUAUGGUUAAAAUGUUUCUUGAAAAAUUUAGCCACUGUCACUGAGGUUCCAAGAUCAGUGAUAGUUCUUUGCGAUCAUCAAGCAGUCAUUGCUUAUACAAAAGAUCCGAAGUAUCAUGGAAUGACGAAGCACAUUGACAUAAAGAAUAACUUCAUCAGAGAUAUAAUAAUGCAGAAAGAAGUGAUCCUACAAUACAUUCUAACUAAUAGAAUGGUCAUUGAUUCAUUUACGAUGGCUAUUCCUAGAUACGUAUUCUUGACCCACAGGAUGUGACUAGAAUGACAUAGAAUGUGAUAUGUGUUAUUGUAAAGGAUCAUUGGUUUAUGUAUAUGUGGAUAUAUGUAUUAUACUUGUUUAUUUAUAGGUUAAUACCCUAAAAAACCCAAAACUAGUACACUUAUGACAAAUUUACCCCAAACUAUUUUUUUGACCAUAAAAAAUCCCAAACUAGUACACCUGUGACAAAUUUAC